GUUCUCGUUUUGAGAUAGUAACCAGUCACUUAUGUCAAGUGUCAACUACAGUGUUUCAGAUUUAAGCGUGGCUUGCAUUGCAACUUCCUAAAUUUCUCACCAGUCACUUCACUUCAGUCUUCUUUCAUGAUUCACACAUUCCAUGCUUCUACCCUACUGAAUUUUCACACUAGUCCUGUCUAGCAGUCGGCUUUUCUUCCAUUUUCUAGUUUUCAUACUCAAAUUUGAUCCUCUAUAUAUCACAUUCUCGAUCUUAUUCCCAAGACUAUAAAACUUAGCUUCACCGUUUUCGCUCUUAUCUCGGCAAGAGAAAUGGGAUCCAGUUCUUUCCCACAGCCUAACUCAAAUUGGUCAGAACAGAAAAACAAGUUGUUCGAAAAUGCUCUUGCUAUAUAUGACAAGGAUAGCCCAGAUCGUUGGCGAAACAUAGCCAGUUUUGUCGGAGAAACAACCGAAGAGGAAGUGAAGAAGCAGUAUGAGAUCCUUCUAGACGAUAUCAAGAGAAUCGAGUCAGACCAAGUGCCACUGCCAAAUUACAAGAAUCAUGAAGAAAGCAUCAAGGAAAACAGCAACAUGAGCAAUUAAUGAAGGGGAUAGGCUGCAGCAACUGAAGCUCUAAUGAAGAAUGGUCUCAGCUGUAGAGACGGCAAUUUUUCCUUGAUUCAUCAUCACCCUUAAACUUUUUUCCUUUCAAGUAUAAUAAAUUCUAAACAUAUAUAUAUGUACCAAAGAUGAAACAUUAGCAUUUUCUCCUUUGUAU
Long non-coding RNA from Populus trichocarpa (black cottonwood), 760 nucleotides. RefSeq lists it as uncharacterized. Lineage: Eukaryota; Viridiplantae; Streptophyta; Magnoliopsida; Malpighiales; Salicaceae. The transcript has 2 exons. The record is from RefSeq and is a predicted model, not a curated record.